AGCGCAGGCGGGAAGACAAGUUGGAAGUGAAAACCAUGGGCUCAACCCAUGAAUUGCUUUCAAAACUGUUUUUCUUGAGUAGUGCAGAGGUAGAUGGAAUUCCCGGUGUAGCGGUGGAAUGCGUAGAUAUCGGGAGGAACACCAGUGGCGAAGGCGGUCUACUGGGCACCAACUGACGCUGAGGCUCGAAAGCAUGGGUAGCAAACA
This 207-nucleotide ribosomal RNA is filed under the name uncultured bacterium. RNAcentral's name for it is "partial 16S ribosomal RNA". It matches the Rfam family "Bacterial small subunit ribosomal RNA", at positions 568 to 774 of the family's 1533-position model. The record is from RNAcentral.